AUUAAUGGGUUUAGAACCUUUGUUUAGGUUAGAUUGGAAGGACUCUAACUCCCAUUUGGAGAUCGAGAGAGCUUCCUUCGCAACCGGUGAGUUUUCCCUAACCCUAGCUUGAGUUGGUUAAUGAUUGAACUUAGCGUCAUUCGUUUCGACUAGAUGACACUUGUUUUCAUACCUUUAGGAUACUAGGAGUGUGGUGGACGCCUUCGUCGUGGCAAACGAAAGCUUUCGUUGACGACGGUGGGUUUGGCUUCGUGGAAAUUGGGCGAAAUGGCCUCUAUGCUCUUUCUAGUUGUUGUAAAAUAUUUUUAAAUUCAUUUCUAUGCUAAAUGGAAUUUAUAUGAAUUUUAGAGCACUUAAAAUGCAUGCCUUGUGUAUUUUGAAAAUUUCACUAUAUAGUAGAGCUAUAUGAGUAGAAUGCAUGCAUAUGGGAAA
RNAcentral lists this long non-coding RNA (432 nucleotides) under Ananas comosus (pineapple). RNAcentral's name for it is "long non-coding RNA (ACOM_LNC003785)". The record is from RNAcentral. Lineage: Eukaryota; Viridiplantae; Streptophyta; Magnoliopsida; Poales; Bromeliaceae.